Molecule: long non-coding RNA, 416 nt
Organism: Bombina bombina (fire-bellied toad)
Lineage: Eukaryota; Metazoa; Chordata; Amphibia; Anura; Bombinatoridae
Exons: 3
Source: RefSeq, a predicted model, not a curated record
GAGAAAGAUUCCCCCGGUUCUUCAGGCCAGUGUCAAUGGCUACCCCUAGGAGCAACCACUCUUUUCCCCAACUGCCAUUGACACUGCUUGAGGGUCAUCCAGACGAUGACUCAGUGACAGAUUUGGACAUCCCUGAUAUCUGAGACGACCAAGUACCGGGGGAGGAUCCUGCCCCAGCCUUCUCGCCGACGCUGCCAGAUGAGGAGGUGGCUAGAGUAGAAUAUUGCGAUCAAGGGACACAAACAGAGCACUUCCUUCGGGAUCUAUUUACCCAACUGGAGGAGGGGCUACAAAUUGUACCACAGCAGUACGGGGCCUACAGGAGGCCAUGCAAAAUAUUUUAUAAAAUACUGUAUUUUAUUUCUUUAAAAAAAAAAAAUUCAAUAGUUUUAUAAUAAAUAUAUAUUUAAUCAAAA